GCGCGAAAACUUUACAAUGCUGGCAACAGCGAUAAGGGAACCUCGAGUGCCAGGUUACAAAUCUGGCUGUCGAGAUGCCUAAAAAGCAUUUCAUAGCAAGGGCCGGGCAAGACCGGUGCCAGCCGCCGCGGUAACACCGGCGGCUCGAGUGGUAACCGUUAUUAUUUGGUCUAAAGGGUCUGUAGCCGGCCGGAUAAGUCUCUUGGGAAAUCUGGCAGCUCAACUGUCAGGCUUUCAGGAGAUACUGUCUGGCUCGAGGCCGGGAGAGGUGAGAGGUACUUCAGGAGUAGGGGUGAAAUCUUGUAAUCCUUGAAGGACCACCAGUGGCGAAGGCGUCUCACCAGAACGGACCUGACGGCAAGGGACGAAAGCUAGGGGCACGAACCG
This 387-nucleotide ribosomal RNA is filed under the name uncultured bacterium. Its description in RNAcentral is "bacterial SSU rRNA". It matches the Rfam family "Archaeal small subunit ribosomal RNA", at positions 339 to 726 of the family's 1478-position model. The record is from RNAcentral.